RNAcentral lists this ribosomal RNA (249 nucleotides) under Aspergillus fischeri var. fischeri. RNAcentral's name for it is "partial large subunit ribosomal RNA". It matches the Rfam family "Eukaryotic large subunit ribosomal RNA", at positions 351 to 605 of the family's 3401-position model. Lineage: Eukaryota; Fungi; Ascomycota; Eurotiomycetes; Eurotiales; Aspergillaceae. The record is from RNAcentral.
GAGUGAUCGAAAGAUGAAAAGCACUUUGAAAAGAGAGUUAAACAGCACGUGAAAUUGUUGAAAGGGAAGCGWUUGCGACCAGACUCGCCCGCGGGGUUCAGCCGGCACUCGUGCCGGWGUACWYWCCCCGUGGGCGGGCCAGCGUCGGUUUGGGCGGCCGGUCAAAGGCCCUCGGAAUGUAUCACCUCUCGGGGUGUCUUAUAGCCGAGGGUGCAAUGCGGCCUGCCCGGACCGAGGAACGCGYUUCGG